UAGGAUAUGGUAUAUAGGUAGCACGAAGAAUUUUGAAUUCUUAGGUAUAGGUUCAAUUCCUAUUAUUCUAG
This 71-nucleotide transfer RNA is filed under the name Stenocephalemys albipes (White-footed Stenocephalemys). RNAcentral's name for it is "tRNA-Gln". It matches the Rfam family "tRNA". From Rfam's summary of the family: Transfer RNA (tRNA) molecules are approximately 80 nucleotides in length. Their secondary structure includes four short double-helical elements and three loops (D, anti-codon, and T loops). The record is from RNAcentral. RNAcentral also lists the same sequence under 1 other name. Lineage: Eukaryota; Metazoa; Chordata; Mammalia; Rodentia; Muridae.